Molecule: long non-coding RNA, 802 nt
Filed under: Calidris pugnax (ruff)
Lineage: Eukaryota; Metazoa; Chordata; Aves; Charadriiformes; Scolopacidae
Description: lncRNA (ENSCPUG00000004676.1)
Source: RNAcentral
CUGAGCAGCUCUCAAGACACUUGCUGGAGCAUUGAAAAAUAUGGAGGGAAGGACAAAAGUGGUGUGAGAGGUUUGUUCUGGUGCUGGGGGAACAAGACUCUUGGCAGCCUCACACGGGCUCUUCGGGAAGUGGGAAACAAUUAGUGUAGCAUGCAUCUCUGAAUCUCAUCAUUAAGCAUAAACCUUGUUUUGGUCUUUGAAGAGACUGAAGAAGUACAGAGAUUGGAAAACUCCAAAAUGCGAAGAAUUUUGGGUUAAAGUUUCCCAUGUGUCUCCAGCUGUGUUCCUGCCUUCAGCACAGGUCUAGGAGCCGUCCUGGAAACAGUCCCAGGGCAAGAGAGCUCCUGGGACCUGUGCCUGUCUGCAAGCAAAGAAGAAGGAAAAGUCUUUGGUAUCUUCCCUGGCAUGUUUAUUCCUACCUUUUAUUCCAGCAAACACAUCACUUCUUGCGUGUUCCCCUGUGACCCAAGUAUUGGAUGGAACUGAGGUAAGCUAUGUAUAGACAUCGAUAUAGAAUUCCAGUACAAACAUACUUUGGGAUGAUUAUAAUCAACCAAAAUUACGGGGUUUUGCUGUGUCAUGUCUGAGAGCCCAUCUGGUACUUCAGAAUUGCACUGAAAGUACAGAUACCAGUAAGUUCUGGAGAUAUAUACCGGAGGAGUUAUUAAAAUGGGGCAAUCCCUCUGUAAAAUUAUGACUACAGCUAUGGAAUAGUAAAUAUCAAUUUCAGUAAACCAAGAAACAAGUAUUUUUUUCUAAAUUAUCAGAUUGGGAGAGGGGAUGAUCUUAAUCUUUUACCAUU